AUGUCCGUCAGGGAGGGGAGAGGGCAGCCGAUGAUCCUUUGCGCUGCUUUGACUGUCCUCUGUAGCCUCCCUCUAUCUGCAGCAGUGCAGCUCCCAUACCAGGUGGUGAGGUAGUACGUCAGCAGGCUCUCAAUGGAGGAAUGCCUUCUUGAUGACAGCUGAGGUGUUGCGUGUCCAGGAGAGGUCAUCAGAGAUCUGGACUCCCAGGAAUCUGAUGUCGUGGACCCUCUCCACAAUCUCGCUGUUGAUGCAUAGGGGAGGGGGGAUCUCUUUUUUUCCUUCUGAAGUCCACGAGGAUCUCCUUUGUUUUCUUAUUGUUCAGAGCCAGGUUAUUUGCAGAGCACCAGUUCGUGAGCUUCUGGACCUCCUCCCUAUAGGCUAUCUCGUCACCAUUCGAGAUCAGCCCGACCACUGUGGUGUCAUCAGCAAAUUUUACAAUCAUGUUGUUGCCGUGGACCGGACUGCAGUCAUGGGUAUAAAGACAGUAGAGGAGAGGGCUCAGCACGCAGCCUUGUGGUGAACCAGUGCUCAGUGUGCGUGUAGAGGAAAGGUGGGGGCCAA
Molecule: long non-coding RNA, 561 nt
Organism: Syngnathus acus (greater pipefish)
Lineage: Eukaryota; Metazoa; Chordata; Actinopteri; Syngnathiformes; Syngnathidae
Exons: 2
Source: RefSeq, a predicted model, not a curated record